This 547-nucleotide long non-coding RNA is filed under the name Parus major (Great Tit). RNAcentral describes it as "lncRNA (ENSPMJG00000013162.1)". The record is from RNAcentral. Lineage: Eukaryota; Metazoa; Chordata; Aves; Passeriformes; Paridae.
CAGGGAUGUUUUAGUUGUUGUCCAUGAGUUUAGUUACAAAUCCACCAAAUUUUCCCACUUUUACCCUUCCAGGUCUCUCCUGAUCCCACCAGGGCUGAGCAAGGUGUGGGACUGAACUGCCAGUUGGGGUUAAACCGUCACAAAUGGGAAAAACCUGAAGUUUGUUUUUGGCAGAUCCCAGUGCUUGUGGGGAUUGUCCAGGGAGGGCACAAGGGCUGUUGGAAGCUGGGAGUGAAUGCAAAGCCAAAUUUCAUUCAAACAGAAACUGGAGGCACCGGGUAUCCCCUUUACAGCUCUUAUUCAUCCAAAAGGGAAAUGUUUCCAGGAACACACACAAGGAGGGAAGAUUUCCCUCAGUUUAGGAUAUUGCCAGAUGAAUUCCUGCCUGCUGCAUUAUCCAGCGGUGAUUAAUGAGAUCUCAGGAGUGAUGCUUCUGGGGAAGAUAAAUUUCAGGUAAACAGGCAUCGCUUCCCAGGUGAUCCAUUUCUUCUGAAAGAACCUCAGGAAGUCAGAGGGGGAAAAAAGGAACACAGAGAGGGUCAGGAUG